GCCGCCUUAGCUCAGUCGGUAGAGCGAUUCACUCGUUGAGGUCAGGAGUUCGAUUCUCCUAGGCGGCUCCA
This 71-nucleotide transfer RNA is filed under the name Mycobacterium tuberculosis CAS/NITR204. Its description in RNAcentral is "tRNA-Und (NNN) (tRNA-Und-NNN-1-1)". It matches the Rfam family "tRNA". Rfam says of the family: Transfer RNA (tRNA) molecules are approximately 80 nucleotides in length. Lineage: Bacteria; Bacillati; Actinomycetota; Actinomycetes; Mycobacteriales; Mycobacteriaceae. The record is from RNAcentral.